AUAAGAGGUCCAGCCUGCCCGGUGACAAAGUUUAACGGCCGCGGUAACCUAACCGCGCGAAGGUAGCAUAAUCACUUGUUCUUUAAAUGGGGGCCAGUAUCAACGGCAUCACGAGGGUUACACUGUCUCCUCCCUCCAAUCAGUGAAACUGAUCUCCCCGUGAAAAAGCGGGGAUACAGAUAUUAGACGAGAAGACCCCAUGGAGCUUUAAACCCAACAGCAACUCAGUACCAUAACCCCCCAUAGCUCACAGAGAAAUGCACGUCGGUUUUAGGUUGGGGUGACCGCGGAGUAAAAACUAACCUCCACGACGAAAAGAACUAAAUCUUUAUCUAAGAACUACCGCUCUAAGAAUUAGUAUACUAACGAACAAUGACCCAAUAAUUGAUCAACGAAACAAGUUACCCUGGGGAUAACAGCGCAAUCUACUUCAAGAGCCCAUAUCGACAAGUAGGCUUACGACCUCGAUGUUGGAUCAGGGUAUCCCAGUGGUGCAGCCGCUACUGAAGGUUCGUUU
This 517-nucleotide ribosomal RNA is filed under the name Gracixalus jinxiuensis (Jinxiu bubble-nest frog). RNAcentral's name for it is "partial 16S ribosomal RNA". It matches the Rfam family "Bacterial large subunit ribosomal RNA", at positions 1845 to 2578 of the family's 2925-position model. Lineage: Eukaryota; Metazoa; Chordata; Amphibia; Anura; Rhacophoridae. The record is from RNAcentral.